GAUGAACGCUGGCGGCGUGCCUAAUACAUGCCAGUCGAGCGAACAGAUAAGGAGCUUGCUCCUUUGACGUUAGCGGCGGACGGGUGAGUAACACGUGGGUAACCUACCUAUAAGACUGGGAUAACUUCGGGAAACCGGAGCUAAUACCGGAUAACAUUUGGAACCGCAUGGUUCUAAAGUGAAAGAUGGUUUUGCUAUCACUUAUAGAUGGACCCGCGCCGUAUUAGCUAGUUGGUAAGGUAACGGCUUACCAAGGCAACGAUACGUAGCCGACCUGAGAGGGUGAUCGGCCACACUGGAACUGAGACACGGUCCAGACUCCUACGGGAGGCAGCAGUAGGGAAUCUUCCGCAAUGGGCGAAAGCCUGACGGAGCAACGCCGCGUGAGUGAUGAAGGGUUUCGGCUCGUAAAACUCUGUUAUUAGGGAAGAAAAAAUGUGUAAGUAACUGUGCACGUCUUGACGGUACCUAAUCAGAAAGCCACGGCUAACUACGUG
Molecule: ribosomal RNA, 497 nt
Filed under: uncultured bacterium
Lineage: Bacteria
Description: partial 16S ribosomal RNA
Rfam family: Bacterial small subunit ribosomal RNA
Source: RNAcentral